CUUUCAGUGCAGUAGUUCCUGUGGUGCUCGCAGAAGCCACGCAGCUUGGGUGCAAUCAAACUGCGGCCCAGCCUCAUCCCUGCAGGAAUCCAGAUGCAGGCCAAGUACAGCAGCACAAGGGACAUGCUGGACGACGAUGGGGACACCGUCGUGAGUGUGCAUUCUCGAGCCUCGUCUCCAACCCAGCAGCCAGAGGCCGGACGCAAAGGGCACCGGCCUCCCUCCUCAGUUUGGCGACCAGUGGCCCUGACCCUGCUGACUCUGUGUUUGGUGCUGCUGCUUGGCCUGUUGGCCCUGGGGCUUGUGUUUUUCCAGUUCUACCAGCUUUCCAACACUCAACAAGACAGCAUUUCUAACAAGGAAGAAAGAUUGGCGAAUCUCUCCCUACAGCUGCAGUCUCUCCAGACAAAGAACAGGAAGCUUGCAGAAAUUUUGCAGCGCAUGGCUGAAAAACUGUGUCGUGAGCUGUAUAACAAAACUGGAGAACACAGAUGCAGCCCUUGUCCAGAAAAAUGGAAAUGGCAUGGGGACAAAUGCUACCGAUUCUGUAGAGACAGCAAGAGUUGGCAAGGCUGUGAAUAUUUCUGCAUUGCAGAGAACGCCACCAUGCUGAAGAUAAACACGCAGGAAGUGCUGGAGUUUGCCAUGCCUCAGAGCUACUCUGAGUUUUUCUACUCUUAUUGGACAGGGCUAUCCCGCAAUGGCAGCGGACAGGCGUGGCUAUGGACCGAUGGAACCCCGUACUCCUCUGAACUGUUGGAGAUUAUAAUAGAUUUCACCAGCCUAAGAAGCAGGGACUGUGUGACCAUCCUCAAUGGAAAGGCUUUCUCAAAGGACUGCAAAGAGUUGAGGCGGUGUGCGUGUGAAAGAAAGGCUGCAGCAGUAAAGCUUGAGAGUCUCCAUUAGCCUCUCUGAGCCAUUACGUGGAGGUGAUUGACUCUUCCGCCAUAAAGGUGAUGUCAAGCUCCCUUCAGGGAAAUUGAAGAUCAGAACAAAAGUCAAUUUCUUUAUGGGCACCUGUAAUAAUUUGGUUUCAGUUCCUUUUUUUCUCUUAUUGGAGCCAUGUUUGUACAACAAAGCAUCAAAAUGAUUUGAGCCAAGCAAGGUCAUUGCAAAGGAUAUUCGAGACAUUGGAAAAUGGGAAAAAAGGAGGAAAGGCAGUUUCUCUGACAGGUACAAGAAACACUUUCCUGUUUCCUGCUCAAGAUCGCCAGCAUUUCUGAGCUUGGGUUCAUGCAAAUGUUCAUGAGUCACAAAGAAGUCCUAUCUGCAUACCACCCACCAGUCGCAGACUAUCGUAAAGUUGUAAUCUACCUUCUUGACCUAGAGAUGCUUUCCAGCGUUCUUCCUUCUCAUCAUCUAAUAUCAUCUGCCUUUUUCCAUGUCUUCCUUAAUAUUUGGAGAAGUGAGAAACUUACUGAAGUAGAGGAAAUAAAGUGUCUCCAAUUUUGAUGUGAAUGUGCUACGGGUGAUGGCAGCAGGACUGAGAAGGAGGAAAACUUGGAAGCCAUGAAGCUACCCUUCAAUGACCUCAGCUUUGGUUCCAAUAAAAAGCCUGUGAAGCUAUCAUUGCUGGUUCUGUCUUCUGGAAAAACUCUGAGGGAUUGGUGCCUCCAUUUGUAUCUGCACAGUGGAAACUGAUUUGAUAUCAAUUACCUGAAACGAAGGAGUUUUGCAUCAAGGUUUGACAGUAUUUCAUCUGAAGGUUAUGGUUUUUUUGCCAUCGUGUGAAAUUCCACAUUGUUCUCUCCUGAUGGAUGAGUUUUUCUUGUUGCUUCAUUGCAAUAGUGGACACCUGGAACACUUCAAACAAUAACAAUCAUUCUUAAUAAAAAAUACUAACAAAUUAUUGCAAACUAGUUUUUCCAUACAGACUAAGUACAGCUGCAAGUUACUGAUGAUCUUUGGGCCUUUAAUUCGCAUUAAGUUUUUGUUUACAAUUUACACUGUUCAAGAAUCAAAAACUUCAAAGGAGACAGAGCAAAAAGCCACUUUACCACCCAGUCUCCCCAUGCACCUGACUUCACUCCCCAAGAGCAGUCAGCUUUACCAAUUUCUUUUUUACUCUUCCACAUAUGUUUGCUUGAAUUUUAUAAACAAAUGCAUAUAAAAUGCCCUCUCUUCCCUUUGUUUGGACGGUAGCAAUCUGUUUAUUUUUCACCUUUUAUUUUACCACUUAAAAUAUAUUUGGGGGGCACCUGGGUGGCUCAGUCAGUUGAGUGUCUGACUUGGUUUCAGCUCAGGUCAUGAUCUCCUGGUUCAUGAAACUGAGCCUUGCAUCAGGCUCUGUGUUGGCAGUAAGGAGCCUGCUUGGGAUUCUCUCUCUCUCUCUCUCUCUCUCUCUCUCUCUCUCUCUCUGCCACUCCUUCAAUCAUGCUGUCUCUGUCUCAAAAUAAAUAAGUAAACUUUAAGGAAAGGUAAUUAUAAAGUAUAUUUUGGACAUAAUUCCAUAUCAGUAUAUAAAUAGCUUUCUCAUCGAAUUCCAUUGUCUGGAUAUAUCAUGAUUUAUGUUAGACAUUUUCUAUUGACUUUUAGACUGUUUGUAAUCUUUUGGCAUUCCAGAAAUAAAUACUGUAAUAAAGAACCUUAGUCAUACAUAAUUUCACACAUAUGCAAGCAUAUUUUUAAGAUAAGUUGCUUGGUCAAAGUUUAUGUACAUUUAAGUUGUAUUACAUAUCUCCAAAUUACCCUCCAUAUAUGCUGUUGCACAUGGUAUCUCAGUAUCAUUUGACUUUGCAUUUCCUUUUUUACUUUGGUGUCGAAACUUUUUCUCGUACAUAUAAAUGUCAUUUGUAUUUGCUUUUCUAUGAAGUGUAUAAUUAUAUAUAAUAUAUAAUAUAUAUUACAUACAUAAUUAACUAUAAUUUUUCUCAUUGAGUUUCUACUCUUUCCUUGACUGUUUUAUAUGAGGUGCUUAUUGUGCUGAGAAUUCGUUCAAACAGGCCUGGGAUCAGCCUGACAGUGUCUCUAAAGUUUCUGCCUGGUACCGACCUCUGGACGAGGUAUGAGACAUACUGAUUAAUAGUGUCGCUUUGCAAUCAUCAGUCUGAGGAUGUUGGGGCCAGAUUAUACUAGCUUGUCGGCAUUCUUUACUGAUGCCAUAUGACCGAUGAUUUGCCCCUGGUUACAAGGAGGUCCUGAGCAGGGUCUGCUGUUGAAGCUGGUUACCUUACAGAAGUAUGCCUAUGCGGUCAGCAAAAUAUAAAAAUUCCCACGCAAGACUCUAUUUGGUGUGCCCUGGUACCAAAGUAUUCUGUGUAUACAUUGGUGGUUCCUGACUGAAGAGAAGAACUGUGUUCCGAAAGGAUAGUCACAGAGGGAGGACAAGACACCUGUUCGUACCUGGCCUGUCCGGAUCCUUCAUUGUAAUACAUAUCCUUACUUUAAUGUGGUCGUUAAAUUGUACCCUUUUCUUAUGGUAAACUGUACAUUUGUCAGCCCUGGCAUUUUGGGCCGUGUGACUCUUCGGCAAAUCAAUCUCGUUUAACGGGUUCUGCUAGUGCACUUGUACUUUGGUAAACUGAUCUUUUCCCUGAUAUGAGCUGCAGUUACACUGUCCCAGUGUGUCUUUUGACUUUGCUUGUGGUAGUUUGCCCCAUGUACGUCAGAUGCUUUUUAAAAUUUUUGAUUUUGUUUAAAUCCGAGGUAGUUAACAUAUACGGUAACAACGGUGUCAGGAGUUGAAUCUGGCGAUUCAUCAUCUACCUUUGGUAGUCAGUGCCUAUCCCAACAAGUGCCCUCCUAAUGCCCAUCACCCAUUUAGCCCAUCCCCCCACCCACCACCCCCUCAGCAAUUCUCAGUUUGUCCCCUGUAUUUGAGGGUCUCUUGUGGUUUGUCUCCCUCUCUGUUUUUACCUUAUUGUUUCCUUCUAUUCCCCUACGUUCAUCUGUUUUGUUUCUUGAGUCAUUUUUGGAAAAAAUUUACACUUGAGAUUAUACUUUUAUAAGUAUAGUUCAUUUUUCCAUAUUUGGUAGCUGGAAUUUAUUUUGUUGGAAUUUGUAAGGUAUGACUUCAGCGUUUCACCCCCAGAUGGCUACAUUGUGUGUGGUCUCAUAUCCUUUACUGAAUGAAACCCUUCCCCAUUGUCUUGUUUUUUUUUUUAAGUUUAUUUAUUUUGAGAGAGAGAGAGAGUGCUGCAUGCAUAAGUGGGGGAGGGACUAAGAGAGAGAGAGAAAGAGAGGAUCCCAAGCAGGCUCUGCACCAUCAGUACGGAGUUCCUUGUGGGUCCCUGAACUCACAAACCAUGAAAUAAUGAUCUUAGCCGAAGUCAGAUGCUUAACCGAUUGAGCCUGCCACGUGCCUGUCCUCCCCAUCCUCUUUUACUUGCCAUCUGUAGCUGAAAGGAUAGAAUAAUAGGAAUAAUAUAUUUCUAUUAUUUUAGUAACAUUCAAUCCGCCUGCUUUUCGGCGGAAUGAACCACACAGCCUUCAUUAUUUUAUAUUUAUAAUUUUGUUUCAAUAUUCGGCAGAGCCUGCCUUUCUCCCAUUUUCACAUUACUUUUAUAUUAUUUUUUGUUGCCGUUCUUUCCUUCUAAGUCUGACUGGCUUUUUAGGUCAAUUCUUUUUUAAAAUCAUAUUAUAAAGUACUCAUCUAUUCCUAGUCUAUUAAAUAGUUUUCUUCACAUGGAUAUUGCUUUUCUUUGUGCCGUUUCUUGAAUUUCUUGAAACACGUGGCUUAAUGUUUUUGAUCAGUUUGGGAAAACAUUCAUCCAAUAGGUCUUAAAAUAAUACUACUUUUAUCGAACUAUCUUUUCUACUUUGGGGUCUGUUAUUACGCAUAUGCUAAUCUUUCUCAAUAUGGUCUAGGAUGCUUACCCUCUUUUCUAUAUUUUGCUCAAGAGCUAGGGACUAGAUAUACAAUGGAUGGUUUAUGCCUUGUCCAUUGGUGGUUCAAGUAACCUAGGCUGCUAGUGGCUUGGAUUAUGUUCCUUCUUAGCAAAAGGCUAGAUAUAACCAGAGUGGGGAGUAGGACAGUGAUGUUACUUAUUUUAUUCUAUCAAUAAUCUGGCACGUUUAGAGAUUGAGAAUAAUAUUUUUUUUAGGAAUUUGAAGUAUUAUUCCAGAAGUUUAAAUUUCGAUGAACUCUUUUUAGAUUAACCAUAUUCUUGAGGUUAUUGCUGCUGUGUUUAUUACCAUCUGAAAAGGUUGUACUGUAUAAAACUGUAAUAAAACUGGAGAAAGGGAAAUGAAACUUCUCUUUUGUUCCCCCCCAAAUGGGAAGCAAAAUACAGUGUUGGGCUUGUAAUCAAUUUGCGACAAGUGAGGAAUAAAGAUUAAACACUAUAUUUAUUUGGGGGAAUAUAAGACAAAUGUUUUUAAAGCCCCCCAAAUAAAAGUAUCUUGUAAUUAUACAAUGUUGUAUGAUAUACUUAAUGGAUGAAUUAAGAAAAUGAAAAAGAAGAGUAAAAACAAAUGAAAAAAUUUGAUGUUUUAGAAAAUAUUUUGCACUACAGAGCUUUCAAAAUAGAAAUUAGCAUAAAUCAUUUGGUAGAAAAAAAUAGAAAAUACAAAAUAGUAGGAAGAAAGCAAGAAACUGCUUCUCCUUACAUUUAAACCCGCCAUUCAAAUAGCAGUUGUUAGCAUUUAGUUUAUAUCUACUAAAACUUUUUUCCACAUAUGCAUGUAAAACCCCAUCUAUUUUACAUAUAAUUUUUAUAAAACUGUAUUUUUCCAUAAGUGACUUUUAAAUCUGCUUAUUUCAUGGGAACUAUUGUGUAACCAUAUCUCCAUGUUAAUAGCAACAGUUCUAGAAGACCUCUUUAAAUUACUACAGUGUAUCCUUUUAUAUCAACCUACAUGAUUAAUUUUACCAGUCAUUUUACUGUCAGAUAUAUAUGGAUGCAUUUUUAAUGGUAUACAAGAAAAAUUUGUAAUUAACCCAUGCAUUACUUUCAUUUUUAAACAGGAUAUAGAUUUCAUUCAUUACUCUUUGUCAGAAACAUGUCCCUGUUUCUAAUAUGUAUAUUAAAUUAUAUAUUAUAUAAUAAUUUAAAUAUUAAUAUUGGCCUUUUUCUUACAGUGAAAAUUUUCAUGGAGAGAAUAUUUAACAUUCUUUAUUAAGUGGAACAUGAUUAAGAUGAGAUAAUUAUUAGACAUUAAACAUGAUUUUUACAACUCAAAAUAUACUGGCUAUAAAAUAAUCUAUAACUAGAAGGACAGCAAUAAGUUAAGAAAGUCUGAGGUCAACAAACCACUUCUUGUUUAGCACAACUCUUGUUUCUGUAACUGGCUUUUACUUAAUAAAAGCCCUAAGAAUGUUUUGAGAGUGUAAAAGAUGAUCUUGGCCAAUGGCAAUAUUGGUAGCAAAAAAAUAAAAGCCACUAUAUGUGAAGAAAAGCCACUAGUAAAAAUAUUUUACAUUUGUAUAGUGAUAUUUAUAAGUUUUAAAAGUAGGUAUUUGUAGCUAUUAAUGCAAAAAAAGCCAAAACUUGUAGUUGUAAGCAUUUUGCAGAAAUUACUGAAAGUUUUAAAUACUUUAUUUUCUAGCUAGCUUUCCUUUAUCCUCAUGGGAGUAUUUUCUUCCCAUAUUUUUUGUUUUGGGAGUUUAAAAAAAAAAUUGUUUCAUACAGACUACAUCCAUGGGAUUACGGCAUUAAAAAAACAACAAGCAGCAAUCACUGAUGUUGUCACCGUCUAUCUUACUUUCCUGACCCCAUUUUUAGUUACUUUUGUAUCCUUCCAGUGUCACUCUGUGCAUGAAUGCUUGUACUGUCGUCAGAAUGGAGCUAGACAAUAUUCCAUUCAAAGUGCCCAGGUUUUACAGAAGAAACUGAAAUAUUAGAGGUUAAUUUACUUAUCUGUUAGUUCUCUUUCAACUCCUCAAUCUAUUUCCAGUGUGUCUGUUUGAGAAAUAUACAUUUAAGUGUGAGUUUCCUAAAAAAAAAUAGACUUGCGUUUGAUUUAAAUAACGUUUUUAUAUGAUACCCAGAGAGUAGACGGUGAGAUAAGGAACUCUUUCGCAGUGCUAACAUUUGUUGUGAAAUUUCUUUUGAGGUGAUAGACAAGGCAACAAUUACUUAUUGAACUUCUAGUAAUUCUUAAAACAAUUUUCUAAGAACAAUCAGGAAAAUAAGUUCAUGGCUAACAUGAACAAGAUCAAGUUUCUUGUACUUUGUGGAAGCAAAUCUGAACCUGUCUCUUCUUCAUUCUAGAACUCAUAAUUCUCACCAGCUAAUGUCUGCUAGAUAGAGAAAUGUUUUUCCAGAGCAUAUGAAAAGGAGGAAUUAUCUGGACAAUAAACUUUAUCUCUGUCUUUCUAUAUAUACUUCCUAGUGCUAGCAUGAGUGAUAAUCCAAGUUGUUGGUUGUUUUUUUGUUUGUUUUUUGUAAUCUGCAGCUCUUUAAUUAUUAUAUUUUAUAAAAAUUUCACUAGCCAGAUACGAAAACAUGUCUUAAAAUUUGGACUAAAGAAAUGUGAUUAAUUAUGGCCCAAAUAAAGUGUUCAGAUUGCAUUAA
RNA transcript from Neofelis nebulosa (Clouded leopard), 7454 nucleotides. It is a transcript of the gene named C-type lectin domain family 1 member A, with no coding region annotated. The record is from RefSeq and is a predicted model, not a curated record. The transcript has 8 exons. Lineage: Eukaryota; Metazoa; Chordata; Mammalia; Carnivora; Felidae.